RNAcentral lists this ribosomal RNA (92 nucleotides) under Corymbia papuana. RNAcentral's name for it is "partial 26S ribosomal RNA". It matches the Rfam family "Eukaryotic large subunit ribosomal RNA", at positions 1 to 90 of the family's 3401-position model. RNAcentral also lists the same sequence under 1 other name. Lineage: Eukaryota; Viridiplantae; Streptophyta; Magnoliopsida; Myrtales; Myrtaceae. The record is from RNAcentral.
CGCGACCCCAGGUCAGGCGGGGCUACCCGCUGAGUUUAAGCAUAUCAAUAAGCGGAGGAAAAGAAACUAACAAGGAUUCCCUUAGUAACGGC